AUUUAAAUAGUUUAAUUUAAAAUAUUGAUUUGUGGAAUCAAUGAUGUAUUUAAUACUUUAGAUU
Molecule: transfer RNA, 64 nt
Filed under: Megachile sculpturalis
Lineage: Eukaryota; Metazoa; Arthropoda; Insecta; Hymenoptera; Megachilidae
Description: tRNA-His
Source: RNAcentral